AACGAACGCUGGCGGCAUGCCUAACACAUGCAAGUCGAACGAGACCUUCGGGUCUAGUGGCGCACGGGUGCGUAACGCGUGGGAACCUGCCCUUAGGUUCGGAAUACCUCCCCGUACGGGGUGCUAAUACCGGAUAAUUUCUUCGGACCAAAGAUUUAUCGCCUUUGGAUGGGCCCGCGUUGGAUUAGCUAGUUGGUAGGGUAAGAGCCUACCAAGGCGACGAUCCAUAGCUGGUCUGAGAGGAUGAUCAGCCACACUGGGACUGAGACACGGCCCAGACUCCUACGGGAGGCAGCAGUGGGGAAUAUUGGACAAUGGGCGAAAGCCUGAUCCAGCAAUGCCGCGUGAGUGAUGAAGGCCUUAGGGUUGUAAAGCUCUUUUACCCGGGAUGAUAAUGACAGUACCGGGAGAAUAAGCUCCGGCUAACUACGUG
RNAcentral lists this ribosomal RNA (433 nucleotides) under uncultured bacterium. RNAcentral's name for it is "partial 16S ribosomal RNA". It matches the Rfam family "Bacterial small subunit ribosomal RNA", at positions 29 to 507 of the family's 1533-position model. The record is from RNAcentral.